UACGUAGGGGGCAAGCGUUGUCCGGAAUCAUUGGGCGUAAAGCGCGUGUAGGCGGCUUCGUAAGUCCGUUGUGAAAGUCCAGGGCUCAACCCUGGAAUGCCGAUGGAUACUGCGGAGCUAGAGUCCGGAAGAGGCGAGUGGAAUUCCUGGUGUAGCGGUGAAAUGCGCAGAUAUCAGGAGGAACACCAAUGGCGAAGGCAGCUCGCUGGGACGGUACUGACGCUAAGACGCGAAAGCGUGGGGAGCAAACAGG
RNAcentral lists this ribosomal RNA (253 nucleotides) under uncultured bacterium. Its description in RNAcentral is "partial 16S ribosomal RNA". It matches the Rfam family "Bacterial small subunit ribosomal RNA", at positions 524 to 776 of the family's 1533-position model. The record is from RNAcentral.